Molecule: ribosomal RNA, 439 nt
Filed under: uncultured bacterium
Lineage: Bacteria
Description: partial 16S ribosomal RNA
Rfam family: Bacterial small subunit ribosomal RNA
Source: RNAcentral
CUACGGGCGGCUCCAGUGGGGAAUAUUGCACAAUGGGGGAAACCCUGAUGCAGCAACGCCGCGUGGAGGAUGACGCAUUUCGGUGUGUAAACUCCUUUUAUAUAGGAAGAUAAUGACGGUACUAUAUGAAUAAGCACCGGCUAACUCCGUGCCAGCAGCCGCGGUAAUACGGAGGGUGCAAGCGUUACUCGGAAUCACUGGGCGUAAAGCGCGCGCAGGCGGCCUUUUAAGUUGGAUGUGAAAGCCUAUGGCUUAACCAUAGAACUGCAUCCAAAACUAUCAGGCUAGAGUCUGGGAGGGGAAGAUGGAAUUAGUUGGGGAGGGGUAAAAACCGUAGAGAUAACUAGGAAUACCAAAAGCGAAGGCGAUCUUCUGGAACAGUACUGACGCUGAGGCGCGAAAGCGUGGGGAGCAAACAGGAUUAGAUACCCGCGUAGUC